GNAUUUAUUGGGCGUAAAGGGAGCGCAGGCGGUCAGGAAAGUCUGGAGUAAAAGGCUAUGGCUCAACCAUAGUGUGCUNUGGAAACUGUCUGACUUGAGUGCAGAAGGGGAGAGUGGAAUUCCAUGUGUAGCGGUGAAAUGCGUAGAUAUAUGGAGGAACACCAGUGGCGAAAGCGGCUCUCUGGUCUGUCACUGACGCUGAGGCUCGAAAGCGUGGGUAGCGAACAGGAUUAGAUACCCUGGUAGUCCACGCCGUAAACGAUGAGUGCUAGGUGUUAGGCCCUUUCCGGGGCUUAGUGCCGGAGCUAACGCAAUAAGCACUCCGCCUGGGGAGUACGACCGCAAGGUUGAAACUCAAAGGAAUUGACGGGGGCCCGCACAAGCGGUGGAGCAUGUGGUUUAAUUCGAAGCAACGCGAAGAACCUUGCCAGGUCUUGACAUCCCGAUGCUAUUCUUAGAGAUAGGAAGUUACUUCGGUACAUCGGAGACAGGUGGUGCAUGGUUGUCGUCAGCUCGUGUCGUGAGAUGUUGGGUUAAGUCCCGCAACGAGCGCAACCCUUAUUGUUAGUUGCCAUCAUUAAGUUGGGCACUCUAGCGAGACUGCCGGUAAUAAACCGGAGGAAGGUGGGGAUGACGUCAAAUCAUCAUGCCCCUUAUGACCUGGGCUACACACGUGCUACAAUGGUCGGUACAACGAGUUGCGAGCCGGUGACGGCAAGCUAAUCUCUGAAAGCCGAUCUCAGUUCGGAUUGGAGGCUGCAACUCGCCUCCAUGAAGUCGGAAUCGCUAGUAAUCGCGGAUCAGCACGCCGCGGUGAAUACGUUCCCGGGCCUUGUACACACCGCCCGUCACACCACGAGAGUUUGUAACACCCGAAGUCGGUGAGGUAACCUUUUAGGGNCCA
This 904-nucleotide ribosomal RNA is filed under the name uncultured bacterium. RNAcentral's name for it is "bacterial SSU rRNA". It matches the Rfam family "Bacterial small subunit ribosomal RNA", at positions 547 to 1451 of the family's 1533-position model. The record is from RNAcentral.